Molecule: ribosomal RNA, 468 nt
Filed under: uncultured bacterium
Lineage: Bacteria
Description: partial 16S ribosomal RNA
Rfam family: Bacterial small subunit ribosomal RNA
Source: RNAcentral
GACGAACGCUGGCGGCGUGCUUAACACAUGCAAGUCGAACGGAAAGGCCCUGCUUUUGUGGGGUGCUCGAGUGGCGAACGGGUGAGUAACACGUGAGUAACCUGCCCUUAACUUUGGGAUAACUUCAGGAAACUGGGGCUAAUACCGGAUAGGAGCUCCUGCUGCAUGGUGGGGGUUGGAAAGUUUCGGCGGUUGGGGAUGGACUCGCGGCUUAUCAGCUUGUUGGUGGGGUAGUGGCUUACCAAGGCUUUGACGGGUAGCCGGCCUGAGAGGGUGGCCGGCCACAUUGGGACUGAGAUACGGCCCAGACUCCUACGGGAGGCAGCAGUGGGGAAUAUUGCACAAUGGGCGGAAGCCUGAUGCAGCAACGCCGCGUGCGGGAUGACGGCCUUCGGGUUGUAAACCGCUUUCGCCUGUGACGAAGCGUGAGUGACGGUAAUGUGUAAAGAAGCACCGGCUAACUAUGUG